AUACGUAGGGGGCGAGCGUUGUCCGGAAUUAUUGGGCGUAAAGGGCGCGUAGGCGGUGACACAAGUCAGGUGAUAAAGGCACGGGCUCAACCGGUGUUAGGCACUUGAUACUGUGUUGCUAGAGUGCAGGAGAGGGGAGUGGAAUUCCAGGUGUAGCGGUGAAAUGCGUAGAUAUCUGGAAGAACACCAGUGGCGAAGGCGGCUCUCUGGACUGCAACUGACGCUGAGGCGCGAAAGCUGGGGGAGCAAACAGGAUUAGAUACCCUGGUAGUCCCAGCCGUAAACGAUGAACACUAGGUGUAGGGGGUAUCGACCCCCCCUGUGCCGGAGCUAACACAAUAAGUAUCCCACCUGGGGAGUACGGCCGCAAGGUUGAA
This 377-nucleotide ribosomal RNA is filed under the name uncultured bacterium. RNAcentral describes it as "bacterial SSU rRNA". It matches the Rfam family "Bacterial small subunit ribosomal RNA", at positions 523 to 898 of the family's 1533-position model. The record is from RNAcentral.